This is a non-coding RNA of Ameiurus melas (black bullhead), 74 nucleotides long. NCBI's taxonomy places the organism in Eukaryota, Metazoa, Chordata, Actinopteri, Siluriformes, Ictaluridae. The record is from the annotation of a GenBank genome assembly.
GGCAUUGGUAGCUCAGUGGUUAAGACGUUGGUCUACUGAUCGGAAGGUCCUAAUUUCAAAUCCCAGCACUGCCA